UCCUCUAUUGAAAAUGCAUUAAUAAAAUUGUCUUUUGAGUUUUUUCAUACACAAACGUAGUUAGUUGUCUCUUAUUCUGAUCACGUUAUAAUCAUUUAUUUAUUUAUCAUGAUUUAAGUCCAUUAACCUUUGUAAACUGACAGCAAUAAGUUGGUUUAUCCUGACUAAAGGCUUCAUACGGACCACCCUGCAUAUGUACGUGUAGGUAACGAAAGAAGACGCCAGAACGGGAAAAGCUUAACAAAAGCAAGUUCACUGUUGGAACAAUUGUCUUUUUUAUAAUUAUUAUGUAUUAUUAUUAUUAUUAUAAUUUUGCAUGGAUUUUUAUGAUGUUCGCCCCAAACCAUAUUUUUGUUUUACUUUAUAUUUGUUAGAAGCUUUGUUUAAUGAAAAUGCUUGUGAUUUCUGUUGACUGUCUGUGUGUGCCGGUGCAACGUGACAGAGAGUUCCCCAUAACACAGUCUGCUUCCCGUUCAUUUGUACAGACGAGACUUGCCCUAGAUUUUGACCCACUUAGAUCAGACUAACCCUAACCAUUAUAACUAUAUGAAGGGCGGACUUUCUGUUAUACGGACCCUCAGUUUCGUUACACCGGCUUCAGUAUUUAGUUUUUUUAAUGAGAUUUUUAAAGAACUUCUCAACGGAAUGUAUAUGAAGACCAUUGUAUGAUCAACGUGGUUAUUGUCAUUGUUACUUUGUUCCAUUUGUUUGUAAUGUAUAUUUGACAGUUUUUCUGUCUAACUUCCAAGUACACCAAGCCACCCUUCUCUAAAGCACCUUAAGCUUUUGUCACUUAGUUCACUUAAAAGCUUAAAUGAAAAAUAAAUGAAGUCCAAGUAUGUUGGAUCCACAAUGGCUGGCGAUGUAAUUUUUUUUCCAAACCGACAAAACAUUUAUGGAAAAUACAUGUCAUUUUUUUUACUCGAAAAUGUUCAAAUACGAGAUUUUUCAUGAAAAACGUAAUAUUAGAAAUAUUUUUCAAUUGAUUGUUAUGCCGAUUAAGCUGAAUCGCCAGAUCUCAUUAUUUGAUUUCAGAAUUAGUCUCUAAGUUACGGUAUUGUUUAACCAGUGUUGUCCAGAAAAUAUUUACUCUGCGGCUUUGAAUUGGUUGACUUGUAUUAUCGGUAUUACAGCGGGCGAGGCAGUUCGUCAGUUUCAGGAAAGAUAGUGGACGGAGAAAAUCUUAGGAAUAACGAAAUAAAUUAUUAAAGCGCAUCAGUUUUUAGGAUGGAGCAGAAAUCAGUGGUUGUCACACAACCUGGUCACGUGGGGGCCCCUCAUAUGCCACAAAACGUCCGUUCUUGGUCUACAGGACUCUGUGGCUGUGGUUCCGACUGUAAAAGCUGCUGCUGUGCCAUAUGCUGUUUGCCCUGCAUGCUCUGCUCCUUGGCUACACGCAUGGAUGAGAACUGCUGCCUGCCAUUCUGCUGUGGACCACCCGGCAUUGCCGCUAUGAGGACAAAGCUUAGAACCAUGCAUGGGAUAGAGGGAUCUAUUUGCGGCGAUUUAUGUGCCACAGGGCUUUGUGGAUUGUGCGUGGCUUGCCAGCUGUCCAGAGAGAUGGACCACGUUGGGAUGUAAAAUUCUUACAUAAUUGCAUAACAGCAUAUAGAUUACGUCAUGAAAAGUAGAGGAAUCGUAUGGAGCAUACUGAAAUUAUAAUGGAUCAUAUCUGGAAACCUCCAAUCGAAGUUUAUACAUUAAACUUUUUAUACAUUUAAUUUUUUAUUUUUGUCGUAUCUAAAAUGGAGCAAUGUGCCGUGCAAAGUUUCUCAAAAAUAUAAUAGUGUGAAAACUAAUAGCAAU
This is a long non-coding RNA of Lingula anatina, 1806 nucleotides long. NCBI's taxonomy places the organism in Eukaryota, Metazoa, Brachiopoda, Lingulata, Lingulida, Lingulidae. The record is from RefSeq and is a predicted model, not a curated record.